AAAGACAGGUGAGAAUCCUGUCCGCCGAAAGACUAAGGUUUCCUGGGGCAGGCUCGUCCGCCCAGGGUAAGUCGGGACCUAAGGUAAGGCCGAGAGGCGUAGCCGAUGGACAACAGGUAGAUAUUCCUGUACUAUUCGUAAUCGAUAAGAGCGAAGGAGGGACGCAGGAGGCUAAUGACGCAUGGAGAUGGAAUCAUGUGUAAGCGUUAAGGAAGGAUACGAGUCAAAUGCUUGUAGCCAAUUUUGAGACGUGAUGCGGAGUGAAAUAAAAGUAGCGAAGGUCAUGAAGUCACACUGCCAAGAAAAGCUUCUAGCCAGAGAGCGAGUACCCGUACCGCAAACCGACACAGGUAGUCGAGGAGAGAAUCCUCAGGUGAGCGAGAGAACUCUCGUUAAGGAACUCGGCAAAAUAACCCCGUAACUUAGGGAGAAGGGGUGCUGAAGAGAAAUCAGCCGCAGUGAAGAGACCCAAACAACUGUUUAUCAAAAACACAGGUAUCUGCAAAAUCGUAAGAUGACGUAUAGGUACUGACACCUGCCCGGUGCUGGAAGGUUAAGAGGAUAGCUUAGCGAAAGCGAAGGUUAGAAUUGAAGCCCCAGUAAACGGCGGCCGUAACUAUAACGGUCCUAAGG
Molecule: ribosomal RNA, 633 nt
Filed under: Lactobacillus iners
Lineage: Bacteria; Bacillati; Bacillota; Bacilli; Lactobacillales; Lactobacillaceae
Description: bacterial LSU rRNA
Rfam family: Bacterial large subunit ribosomal RNA
Source: RNAcentral